RNAcentral lists this ribosomal RNA (499 nucleotides) under uncultured bacterium. Its description in RNAcentral is "bacterial SSU rRNA". It matches the Rfam family "Bacterial small subunit ribosomal RNA", at positions 15 to 507 of the family's 1533-position model. The record is from RNAcentral.
GAUCAUGGCUCAGAUUGAACGCUGGCGGCAUGCCUUACACAUGCAAGUCGAACGGCAGCACGGGAGCUUGCUCCUGGUGGCGAGUGGCGAACGGGUGAGUAAUACAUCGGAACGUACCCUGAAGUGGGGGAUAACGUAGCGAAAGUUACGCUAAUACCGCAUAUUCUGUGAGCAGGAAAGAGGGGGAUCGCAAGACCUCUUGCUUUAGGAGCGGCCGAUGUCGGAUUAGCUAGUUGGUGAGGUAAAGGCUCACCAAGGCGACGAUCCGUAGCGGGUCUGAGAGGAUGAUCCGCCACACUGGGACUGAGACACGGCCCAGACUCCUACGGGAGGCAGCAGUGGGGAAUUUUGGACAAUGGGCGCAAGCCUGAUCCAGCCAUGCCGCGUGAGUGAAGAAGGCCUUCGGGUUGUAAAGCUUUUUCGGUGGGGAAGAAAUUGCACAGGAUAAUACCUUGCGUAGAUGACGGUACCCGCAUAAGAAGCACCGGCUAACUACGUG